This 254-nucleotide ribosomal RNA is filed under the name uncultured bacterium. Its description in RNAcentral is "partial 16S ribosomal RNA". It matches the Rfam family "Bacterial small subunit ribosomal RNA", at positions 15 to 263 of the family's 1533-position model. The record is from RNAcentral.
GAUCAGGCUCAGGACGAACGCUGGCGGCGUGCCUAACACAUGCAAGUCGAGCGGAGACAGUGAGUAGCUUGCUAUGAGCUGUUUUAGCGGCGGACGGGUGAGUAACGCGUGAGCAACCUUUCCCAGACAGGGGAAUAACACACCGAAAGGUGUACUAAUACCGCAUAAGACCACGGAAUCACAUGGUUCUGGGGUAAAAGAUUUAUCGGUUUGGGGUGGGCUCGCGUCCGAUUAGGUAGUUGGUGAGGUAACGG